Molecule: long non-coding RNA, 688 nt
Filed under: Aotus nancymaae (Ma's night monkey)
Lineage: Eukaryota; Metazoa; Chordata; Mammalia; Primates; Aotidae
Description: lncRNA (ENSANAG00000039400.1)
Source: RNAcentral
UGGCGGGGCCUCUUUGCGUCCUCCCUUUACAUUCCUAAGUUCUGUGAAAGAGGCACUAGUAGCUCAGCCUAGCAAGGAAGGAAAAAAGAGGAAGUUUUUCUCCGCGUUCUGAUUACACUCUGAAUUCCCUUGUAGUGAGCUUACUUCUCUCCACCCACUUCUUACCAAGAACUCCUUAACUUGAGGGUGAACAACUUAAAGCUUGAUCCUACAGAGUUACCUGAAAAGUGAUUUGAGUAUUCAUUGAACUGAAAGAACUAAUCGUCUACUUCAGGCGGUGGGAAGCGUAUGGAAAUUAUAUUAGAACUUCAGCAAAGUGCACAGCUGCAUAAUAGAGAAGCCGGCACUCAGAUUGACAGGCAAAUAAGCCAGCUUGUGGAAGGGGCCUCUGGGUGGCAGCUCUGGGCUUUUGGGUGUUGGACAACCAUAGGCAAAACUGAAAUGGAACAGGGGCAGAAAAUAGCACACUUUUCCUCUACGCAACUGUUGCUUUUUCAUGAUCUUCCUGAAUUUUAUUGGGAUAAUUUUCCAAAUAGAAUUCCAAGCAUUCUAUUCAAAUGAAGCAGGCAAAGUUGCCCAGUGCCAUAGUGUGGAUCUUAUAGGACAGCUCUGGGUAUGUAUUUCACUGAUACUCUGGUUUACUGUCAGGUUGACAGACCUAAUGGAGAUAUUCUGUACUGCCUUUAUC